GGGUUGUGAGGUUAAGCGACUAAGCGUACACGGUGGAUGCCCUGGCAGUCAGAGGCGAUGAAGGACGUGCUAAUCUGCGAUAAGCGUCGGUAAGGUGAUAUGAACCGUUAUAACCGGCGAUUUCCGAAUGGGGAAACCCAGUGUGUUUCGACACACUAUCAUUAACUGAAUCCAUAGGUUAAUGAGGCGAACCGGGGGAACUGAAACAUCUAAGUACCCCGAGGAAAAGAAAUCAACCGAGAUUCCCCCAGUAGCGGCGAGCGAACGGGGAGGAGCCCAGAGCCUGAAUCAGUGUGUGUGUUAGUGGAAGCGUCUGGAAAGGCGCGCGAUACAGGGUGACAGCCCCGUACACAAAAAUGCACAUAUUGUGAGCUCGAUGAGUAGGGCGGGACACGUGGUAUCCUGUCUGAAUAUGGGGGGACCAUCCUCCAAGGCUAAAUACUCCUGACUGACCGAUAGUGAACCAGUACCGUGAGGGAAAGGCGAAAAGAACCCCGGCGAGGGGAGUGAAAAAGAACCUGAAACCGUGUACGUACAAGCAGUGGGAGCCUCUUUUAUGGGGUGACUGCGUACCUUUUGUAUAAUGGGUCAGCGACUUAUAUUCUGUAGCAAGGUUAACCGAAUAGGGGAGCCGAAGGGAAACCGAGUCUUAACUGGGCGUUAAGUUGCAGGGUAUAGACCCGAAACCCGGUGAUCUAGCCAUGGGCAGGUUGAAGGUUGGGUAACACUAACUGGAGGACCGAACCGACUAAUGUUGAAAAAUUAGCGGAUGACUUGUGGCUGGGGGUGAAAGGCCAAUCAAACCGGGAGAUAGCUGGUUCUCCCCGAAAGCUAUUUAGGUAGCGCCUCGUGAAUUCAUCUCCGGGGGUAGAGCACUGUUUCGGCAAGGGGGUCAUCCCGACUUACCAACCCGAUGCAAACUGCGAAUACCGGAGAAUGUUAUCACGGGAGACACACGGCGGGUGCUAACGUCCGUCGUGAAGAGGGAAACAACCCAGACCGCCAGCUAAGGUCCCAAAGUCAUGGUUAAGUGGGAAACGAUGUGGGAAGGCCCAGACAGCCAGGAUGUUGGCUUAGAAGCAGCCAUCAUUUAAAGAAAGCGUAAUAGCUCACUGGUCGAGUCGGCCUGCGCGGAAGAUGUAACGGGGCUAAACCAUGCACCGAAGCUGCGGCAGCGACACUAUGUGUUGUUGGGUAGGGGAGCGUUCUGUAAGCCUGUGAAGGUGUGCUGUGAGGCAUGCUGGAGGUAUCAGAAGUGCGAAUGCUGACAUAAGUAACGAUAAAGCGGGUGAAAAGCCCGCUCGCCGGAAGACCAAGGGUUCCUGUCCAACGUUAAUCGGGGCAGGGUGAGUCGACCCCUAAGGCGAGGCCGAAAGGCGUAGUCGAUGGGAAACAGGUUAAUAUUCCUGUACUUGGUGUUACUGCGAAGGGGGGACGGAGAAGGCUAUGUUGGCCGGGCGACGGUUGUCCCGGUUUAAGCGUGUAGGCUGGUUUUCCAGGCAAAUCCGGAAAAUCAAGGCUGAGGCGUGAUGACGAGGCACUACGGUGCUGAAGCAACAAAUGCCCUGCUUCCAGGAAAAGCCUCUAAGCAUCAGGUAACAUCAAAUCGUACCCCAAACCGACACAGGUGGUCAGGUAGAGAAUACCAAGGCGCUUGAGAGAACUCGGGUGAAGGAACUAGGCAAAAUGGUGCCGUAACUUCGGGAGAAGGCACGCUGAUAUGUAGGUGAAGUCCCUCGCGGAUGGAGCUGAAAUCAGUCGAAGAUACCAGCUGGCUGCAACUGUUUAUUAAAAACACAGCACUGUGCAAACACGAAAGUGGACGUAUACGGUGUGACGCCUGCCCGGUGCCGGAAGGUUAAUUGAUGGGGUCAGCGCAAGCGAAGCUCUUGAUCGAAGCCCCGGUAAACGGCGGCCGUAACUAUAACGGUCCUAAGGUAGCGAAAUUCCUUGUCGGGUAAGUUCCGACCUGCACGAAUGGCGUAAUGAUGGCCAGGCUGUCUCCACCCGAGACUCAGUGAAAUUGAACUCGCUGUGAAGAUGCAGUGUACCCGCGGCAAGACGGAAAGACCCCGUGAACCUUUACUAUAGCUUGACACUGAACAUUGAGCCUUGAUGUGUAGGAUAGGUGGGAGGCUUAGAAGUGUGGACGCCAGUCUGCAUGGAGCCGACCUUGAAAUACCACCCUUUAAUGUUUGAUGUUCUAACGUUGACCCGUGAUCCGGGUUGCGGACAGUGUCUGGUGGGUAGUUUGACUGGGGCGGUCUCCUCCUAAAGAGUAACGGAGGAGCACGAAGGUUGGCUAAUCCUGGUCGGACAUCAGGAGGUUAGUGCAAUGGCAUAAGCCAGCUUGACUGCGAGCGUGACGGCGCGAGCAGGUGCGAAAGCAGGUCAUAGUGAUCCGGUGGUUCUGAAUGGAAGGGCCAUCGCUCAACGGAUAAAAGGUACUCCGGGGAUAACAGGCUGAUACCGCCCAAGAGUUCAUAUCGACGGCGGUGUUUGGCACCUCGAUGUCGGCUCAUCACAUCCUGGGGCUGAAGUAGGUCCCAAGGGUAUGGCUGUUCGCCAUUUAAAGUGGUACGCGAGCUGGGUUUAGAACGUCGUGAGACAGUUCGGUCCCUAUCUGCCGUGGGCGCUGGAGAACUGAGGGGGGCUGCUCCUAGUACGAGAGGACCGGAGUGGACGCAUCACUGGUGUUCGGGUUGUCAUGCCAAUGGCACUGCCCGGUAGCUAAAUGCGGAAGAGAUAAGUGCUGAAAGCAUCUAAGCACGAAACUUGCCCCGAGAUGAGUUCUCCCUGACUCCUUGAGAGUCCUGAAGGAACGUUGAAGACGACGACGUUGAUAGGCCGGGUGUGUAAGCGCAGCGAUGCGUUGAGCUAACCGGUACUAAUGAACCGUGAGGCUUAACCUUACAACGCCGAAGCUGUU
This 2929-nucleotide ribosomal RNA is filed under the name Escherichia coli. Its description in RNAcentral is "23S ribosomal RNA". It matches the Rfam family "Bacterial large subunit ribosomal RNA". The record is from RNAcentral. Lineage: Bacteria; Pseudomonadati; Pseudomonadota; Gammaproteobacteria; Enterobacterales; Enterobacteriaceae.